RNAcentral lists this ribosomal RNA (254 nucleotides) under uncultured bacterium. RNAcentral describes it as "partial small subunit ribosomal RNA". It matches the Rfam family "Bacterial small subunit ribosomal RNA", at positions 26 to 285 of the family's 1533-position model. The record is from RNAcentral.
AGGACGAACGCUGGCGGCGUGCUUAACACAUGCAAGUCGAGCGGAAAGGCCCUUCGGGGUACUCGAGCGGCGAACGGGUGAGUAACACGUGAGCAACCUGCCCUUAGCUCUGGGAUAGCUCCGGGAAACUGGAAUUAAUACCGGAUACGACCUAGGCCGGCAUCGGCCAUGGUGGAAAGUUUUUCGGCUAGGGAUGGACUCGCGGCCUAUCAGCUAGUUGGUGGGGUAAAGGCCUACCAAGGCGACGACGGGUA